GCGGCGUCGGGCGCGGAGACGAGCGGAGCCCAGGAGGACAGCUGCAUUCUUGGUGUUUCUCUGGAGUUGCCCACCUGAAACUGGAUGCAGAACAAGGGUAAAUCUUCUGAAAUGGCGACAUCCUCUCAGCGGCAAGGCGAAGGCCACAGUCAGCUUCACCUGCGCAGGAUUAGCAGUCGAACCACAGUUCCCGGCAUUGCUGAUGUGAUCCAUUUCGUCAAGACUGUAACGCUGAUCGGCAGGAAUAGGGACGUGGUGGACUGCUUCCUCAGCUGCACCAGCCCGGCCCACACUGACUACAUCUCCCGCGUCCACGCACGGAUCAUCCGAUCCUCCGGCGCCUACGAACUUGUGGAUUCCAGUCUGACGGGGAUCUACGUGAACGACGUUCGGAUCCAGGAUAAAGUGACUUUGAAAGAAGGCGAUACGGUUGCGUUUGGCCAUCCGGCUGGGAGAAGCUACGUGCCGGGAGACCGUGUCCGGCAGCCGAAUUCCCCCUUGUACUUCCUGUUUGAGCAUUGCCAUUGUGUCAUGGAGAGGAUGCCGAAGCCACCCAGUGCGCGAGCCCAGCAGCUUCCUGUGCCAGCACCAGCCGGAGUUCCCCUGCCAGCCAGCUUGAAAUUGGGACCUGAGGAAAAGGCAGCGCUUCCCAAGAUGCCCUGGGAAGCAGCAGGCCCAGGAUGGCCUCCGGUUUUGCCUUCGUUGCCCAUCACUUCCUCCGGAAGGACUCCAGUGUUGCCGGAAGGGUCCAGUGCAGGCGCACCAGCUCCUCCUGCACCGGAAGAUGCUUGGGAGCCUCCUCGCCAACCCCGGCGCUCCACCUCACCGGAAUACGGAGGCCUUGAGGAGGGGUCCCGUUCCCCUGUGGAAUAUUCUCCCCCGGGGACCCGUGUCUUUUUGCCUCAGGAAGGUUCAGGGUCAAGUUGCUCAGAUUCCCCUGGCAAGCAGGAGAAUGCUUCGGUGGGCAGCACAGGUUCCCCUUGGGAGUUUGUGUGCGGAGAAGAAGGGAGCAGUCCGGGUGCCUCGUGCCCCUCAUCUCCAAGCCCAAAAGAACUGGGUUCUGCUGGUUCAGAGUCUGAUGGANAAAUGGAGGUGGAUCGGAGCAGCACGGAGGCCCCUGAAUACGGAGGGAAGUCAGUUUCCGAACCCGGCAGACAGACUCGAGUGGCAGGAGAGAGAGAAGCUGCGAGGCCCCUUUGGCCGGCAUACGCUCGGUGCUCUUUCNAGGGCAGAGUGGAAAGUGAAGGCCUCACACAGGAGCCCCAGGAGAAGCAGGAUCCCUCUCCAAAAGCGUCCCCAGGGCCCCCCGGCUCAGCAGGGAGUGUGGCCAGCGAUCUCGGGCCGUUGCCCGCAGCUGAAUCAGGAAACNCGCAGCAAGAUUCAGCGCGUGAAACUCCUGGUGGUUUGCCUUCUGCAGAAGACCCNGAUUAUGGAAGGGUUCCUAAGUCAGCAGGAGAAGAGCCGUUGCGCUUGCAUGAUGGGUGCGCAACCUUACUGCCAGGGAAAUGGGCGCGCNCAGUCCAAAUUGAAGGGAGCGCGGAAGAGAGCUCGCAAGGAAACAGAUCCGAUGGCGAAGGAGGCCUGCAAAGGGCAUCUCAGGNGCGUGGCGACUUGCUAGCCACAGGCCAUGGUGCUUGGCUUAGAAGCGAGGGGGCUCCUGUGCCAGAUCCAGCUGCCGACUCUCACGACGGCUUUACGGACGACUGCUGUGCAGCGGGUGGCGGCCAGGCCGUGGCAAAGGCUUCUGCCGAGGGAACGCUGGCUGCUGAGGAGGUCGACACAGACACGGCUCGCGAGAUGCAUCCUCAGCCCUCGCCCAGCCCUUCAACCGCAGGCUGCCCGGCGGAAGACGGCCGUUCCAAGGGGGCCCUCUCUGAGCAGACCGGAGAGCAUCCNGGGGAGUCUUCUGGGGCCGUACAGGGGAAGGCGGCUUCAGGGGGUGAUGGAGAGGAGAGGCCUGAGGNGGCUGCCCUGCCUCCAGUUGAAUCUGCCUUCAGGGAGAGAGGGGGGGCAUCUGGGGAGCGUCCUAGGACCCCUGUUUCUGAACUACUGGCAAACUCCCGNGAGGUCCUCUCCCCUAGAAACGAGAGCCCCUUUGCAAGAGGGAAGAGGGAGAAGGCUGAUGCCACCGGGGGGAAAUGGGAAAGGACGGUGGGUGGACACGCUGGUGUUGGCCCAGGCCCAGAGGACCACGUUAGGGGUGCCACGCANGAGCCUGGAGAGGAGGAUGGGGUCCAUGAUAGCUUCCUUCUGGGACCUGAACUGCCCAGAAGCGAUGACAAGAGGCAUGGAGAAGAGCAACCAGGGGAAGGGGUGGAACUGGAGGAGGAGGCAGGCAGGCAAGGGGCACAAAAGGACCGGGUUGCUGUCAGUGAACAGCAGGGCUCUGACGAAGGUGCCCUGGACAGAGAGGCAGGUCCAGGUGUGGCGCAGGAGAGAAGGGACUCUGCCCGCGCCGAAGACGCUCUUGCCAGAAGCCACGGAACAACGGAGCCCUCCUGUGAGUUGGCAAGGAGAGGCAACAGGGAAGACGCNAAACUGGGUUCCCAGCUACAGGCGACAGAAGCCGAGGAGGGCUCGGAUCCUGAAGAGCGCUGCCCUUGGGGUCCUCCUGCUGGCCCUGAGGGCGAGGGGGAUAUAGGCCCAGGUGGGGGCACAGGGAGCAGCAAGGAGAGCGCAGCGAGCACGAGGCCAGUGGCAGAUCAUUUGUUGGCGAAGGCAGAGGGGGGUUCCGGGCAAAGUUGCAUCCAGACAGCCGUACCCGAUGGACGCGUCGAGCUUCAUGGUGCCUCUGACUGCCUGGGGCGUCGGCGUGAGUCUCCUACACCUGUGGGCCAGCAGCCACCACCAGUGUCUCAUGAGGCCAACCUUGAGGGUCAAGAAAAAGACCUGAAGGUGAGGCUCCAGGAACUGGAUAAUGGGGACCAGCUGCCCUGUCACGCUGCAGGGGGGGGGCCAAGAGAAACCCAACAGGAGCUGAGAGGCUUUUCAGGUGGCGAUGAACUCUGUUUNCGCAUUGCUGACUUUGAAGCUGAAAAGGAAGACGGCGGUGGCGCCAUUUUUGGAGCUAAACUUCGGAGAACAGCUGCGACUGCCACUCCUGGUGCGGACGUGCCCUCAGGCAGCGCCCCGGGGAGCAGCGCAUGGCAUGCAGAAGCUCCAGGGGAGUCNGGAAUCCAAGGGUCGCGNGAGGGGAUCCUGCAAGACAGCCAGNCUAGGCCCNCGAAGGAGUCCGAAGNGUUGGCCCCGGGCUCGGGUCAGGAACACCCUUCCGGCUACGAAUCCCAUUGUGAUGACGCUGCUGCUGCUGCUCCGGCUCAUCGCUGGGAUGCGACAGUGGGUGAAGAACCGCCUCUUUUGCUGGGCAGUGCAGUGCGGGGGGGUCACAGGGAGGCUCAAGCGGCUACAGGCGCAGAACUCGCGCCUCGAGAUCUUUCUGCAGAAGCUGGUUGCCGCCCCGAAAGUAACGCCACGUUCGGCUCCGAGGAAGGAGUCGUAGAUCGUGUAGGUUUGCUGGAGGAAGAAACCGGUUUGGAUCAUGACCAGCAUAACCAGCAAGUGGGCGAAAGACUGAGGACCUCAUGUGCCCCUUGCGGAGUCGGAGGCGCAGCUGAAGAAACGCCAGCGCACCUCUGUUCAGAACCAGGUGCGCACGCCCCGGAAGCAGCAGUGGCAGCAACAGGCCUUCCCGGAGAAAAGGAAGAGCUGCAACCCCUGGGAGCUGCGCGUNGGCACGAGGAAGGCCCCGCGUCCUUGGCAGAAGACUGGAGGUUCGAUUCUCCUCAUUCCAAGCAGCGUCCCGAGGCACCUUUGCAGCUGCAGCCAGAGCUCAGCAGCAGUUCGUCCAGAAAAAGAAAUUUUAACCAGGAUGAAGCCUCAGUGGCGGGGGAUGCGGAAGAUUAUGCAUGGGGUCCAAAGAAGGUCUGUCCACAGGAUUCUGGUUUUGACAAAGCUACAGGGGGGGAACUUAACCCAAUUGCCUGGCAGAAAAAAGGAGAGUCCAUUGCCCAAAUAGUGAGAGAUUAUUUCAAGAGCCUGCCCUGCUCUGGCGAAAGGGAGGCUGAAAGCAGCCAAGUGCGGCCGGGCACCGGCCCCAAUGAUGCUGCCAGGGACAAAGGCAGUGAACCUGCAGGAGCGUUAGGAGCUGAGGAAGACGCCGGCUGCAGAGAACCCUGUCCAGCUGAGGUUCGGGACUGCCCGGUGCAGGGCCAGGAUCCGGCACGUGAGGACAGGCGCUUGCCCGAUGGUGCCCGGUCCAGUCAGAUGUUGUCUCCUGCUCAGCCGCAAGANAGUGACUUGGAAAGCGAUAUUCCAGAGAGCAUGUGGGAACCCUGUUUCCCUGAAGAGGGUUUUGCCUUGACAAAAUCUGAUUCACCUGCCGUAGAGUCGGUGGGUUUGCCUAGUGGGAAGAGCAGUGGCGCUUCNGCCAACCGUUCUGGAGAAUCGUCCCCUGAGCUGCGUGGCAAGAAUCCUUCUGGAGGAAGAGCUAGUGCGGAUUCUGCCCAGGUUGCCAAACCUGCUGACACAAGGGGGGGCCUGGCAUUCCCCUGUGCUACAGACUGGCCNGUUGAAGAGCCACAGGUGCCACACUUGCUGCUUGGAUCUCCUGGAGAGGGCAGCANGGCCGCCACACUUAAUGCGGAGCANGGGGCCAGGCCCUGCCGCCGGGUGGCUUCGGCUGACGGCGGCUCCCCCAGAAUGCAGGACGAGGCUUCCAGUACAGAAGACUCCGAACGGGCCGCCCUGCGCCUGAGUCCCACGCGUGUCAAGAGAGAGCGAGAUGACGGUCCCAGCGAGAUGCCCGUGGCAGAGGGAGCCUUUCCCCAGACGAGUUACGGGGACCUGGCAUGCCAAGGCACGGGACAGGGAGCUGCUUCUGACCCGUUGUCUCCACUAGGG
RNAcentral lists this long non-coding RNA (4899 nucleotides) under Salvator merianae (Argentine black and white tegu). RNAcentral describes it as "lncRNA (ENSSMRG00000010001.1)". The record is from RNAcentral. Lineage: Eukaryota; Metazoa; Chordata; Lepidosauria; Squamata; Teiidae.